UCCAGACUCCUACGGGAGGCAGCAGUGAGGAAUAUUGGUCAAUGGGCGGGAGCCUGAACCAGCCAAGUCGCGUGAGGGAAGACGGUCCUAUGGAUCGUAAACCUCUUUAGGCGGGGAGCAAUGCCGGGCACGUGUGCCCGGAGGGAGAGUACCCGCAGAAAAAGCAUCGGCUAACUCCGUGCCAGCAGCCGCGGUAAUACGGAGGAUGCGAGCGUUAUCCGGAUUUAUUGGGUUUAAAGGGUGCGUAGGCGGGCUUUUAAGUCAGCGGUAAAAAUUCGGGGCUCAACCCCGUCCGGCCGUUGAAACUGGGGGCCUUGAGUGGGCGAGAAGAAGGCGGAAUGCGCGGUGUAGCGGUGAAAUGCAUAGAUAUCGCGCAGAACUCCGAUUGCGAAGGCAGCAUGCCGGCUCCACACUGACGCUGAGGCACGAAAGCGUGGGUAUCGAACAGGAUUAGAUACCCCAGUAUGA
RNAcentral lists this ribosomal RNA (468 nucleotides) under uncultured bacterium. RNAcentral's name for it is "bacterial SSU rRNA". It matches the Rfam family "Bacterial small subunit ribosomal RNA", at positions 330 to 794 of the family's 1533-position model. The record is from RNAcentral.